This 232-nucleotide ribosomal RNA is filed under the name uncultured bacterium. Its description in RNAcentral is "partial 16S ribosomal RNA". It matches the Rfam family "Bacterial small subunit ribosomal RNA", at positions 794 to 1021 of the family's 1533-position model. The record is from RNAcentral.
UCCAAGCCGUAAAUUAUGCAUGCUAGAUGUUUUGGACCCUUGUGGUCUGGAGUGUCGUAAUCUAACGAGUUAAGCAUGCCGCCUGGGUAGUAUACUCGCAAGAGUGAAACUCAAAGGGAUAGGCGGGGGAACACACAAGCAGUGGAUUGUCUAGAUUAAUUGGAUAAUAAGCCAAGAAUCUUACCUAGAUUUGACAUAUAUUAUGUCCUAUGUGAAAGCAUAGUAGUCCGAG